ACCACUCUCCUUUCCACCCAUUCAGGCUCAGAAUAGGCUGUAGAUAGCUGAUUUCAUCGAGGUUACCAUUGGAUUUGCAUCCUCCAAACUGUAGGUUCACAGUCUUCCUUACUUUUAGUUAUUCGAGGGCCCACUGGUUACUGUAAAUUAAAUUAAAUACUCUGGCUUACUGUAUUACAGUAUGUAUGAAUUUAUUUUGCUUUUACGCUGCUACAAAAAUUAUUUACGUAUAACUCUUAAAAUAUUGUUUUAUAAGAAAAUAAAAUAUUUUAUUGAAUAUUUCUUUUAUUUUUUUAUUAUAUCCAAAUAAUCAUAAUUUCAUUUUAAAUGAAGGUUUUAGAUGUUUAAACUUAUUUUUUAUUAUGAAUUAUGUGUUUUGUACUCACAUAGUACAUUUUUAGCGGAUUUCGAGAUUUUUGAGGAAAAAUGACCAAAAUGCUCUUGUGAGAAAAAAAAUGUUUUUCUAUUGCUUUGAUUUGGAAAUAGUUUAUAAUCUCUCAAAACAUAAUUUUAGUGACUAAUACUCACAAGGGAAGCGAGAAAAACUAAUGUUAAGCCUUGCGAGGUUUCGAUUGACAUUUCGAGUAAUAAAUGUCUAUCGGGAGGUCACGGCAGUUGUCACGAGCUUGAUGGGAGUUCCGAGUUGUGACAGUUUUUCUAUAAAAUGCAUGGGAACAAGCCUUUAGUGAAAUAUUUUUGGUGAUGUGGAACAUGAUUAUGAUGAAUCUCUGUACCUUUAUAUGAUGCUGAUGUGUAUAUAAAAAUAUAUGAUAUGUAUUGCUAAGUAAUUUUGUGUAAUUGAUGUAACCGUGCAUGUGCGGAGUGGGCAGUGCAUAUGCCAGUUGAAUGAUGAUGUUGUGACAACUACAAUCGUGCAUAUGCGGAGUGAGUAGUGCAUAUGCCGGUCGAAUGAUGAUGUUGUGACACUUACAACUGUGCAUGUGCGGAGUGGGCAGUGCACAUGCCGGUAAUGAUGUGCGUGUGGGGAGUGCAUGUUGGCUGAAAGAGGUGGUGGUAUUCGU
This 1022-nucleotide long non-coding RNA is filed under the name Theobroma cacao (cacao). Its description in RNAcentral is "long non-coding RNA (TCAC_LNC003225)". The record is from RNAcentral. Lineage: Eukaryota; Viridiplantae; Streptophyta; Magnoliopsida; Malvales; Malvaceae.